This 294-nucleotide ribosomal RNA is filed under the name Climacostomum virens. Its description in RNAcentral is "partial Eukaryotic large subunit ribosomal RNA". It matches the Rfam family "Eukaryotic large subunit ribosomal RNA", at positions 1250 to 1504 of the family's 3401-position model. The record is from RNAcentral. Lineage: Eukaryota; Ciliophora; Heterotrichea; Heterotrichida; Climacostomidae.
GGCCAUGGAAGUCGGAAUCUGCUAAGGAGUGUGUAACAACUCACCUGACAAAUGCAAUAGCCUUGAAAAUUAAUGGCGCUGAAAGUGUACAAAACAUAUAAACAACUGAGAAUGAGAAAUAUUAUUUUUUAUUCAUUCUCAUGUAAGCUUUUGUGGUGUAUUUAAAUAUAAAAUAUUUAUAAAUAAAGAGAUGAAGAAUACAAAGAUUAAUCUUGUUUCGAUCAUACACUAGUACAGAUCUUGGUGGUAGUAGCAAAUAAUCAAGUGAGAACCUUGAUCGCCGAUGUGAGGAAG